This 253-nucleotide ribosomal RNA is filed under the name uncultured bacterium. RNAcentral describes it as "partial 16S ribosomal RNA". It matches the Rfam family "Bacterial small subunit ribosomal RNA", at positions 524 to 776 of the family's 1533-position model. The record is from RNAcentral.
UACGUAGGGGGCAAGCGUUGUUCGGAAUUACUGGGCGUAAAGGGCUCGUAGGUGGCCAACUAAGUCAGACGUGAAAUCCCUCGGCUUAACCGGGGAACUGCGUCUGAUACUGGAUGGCUUGAGGUUGGGAGAGGGAUGCGGAAUUCCAGGUGUAGCGGUGAAAUGCGUAGAUAUCUGGAGGAACACCGGUGGCGAAGGCGGCAUCCUGGACCAAUUCUGACACUGAGGAGCGAAAGCCAGGGGAGCAAACGGG